UUUCAAUGCCAUGGCGAUGACAGAAUUACACCACGAACAGCUAGUUAACAACAUGUUUUUGGAUCCAUCAACGCACAGCAUUUUUCCAUGCCUCCGGGCCACCUGUUAUUGUAGUGCUGAAUCACACAAGCGUUAAUUACCAACAUUUACCGAAACACCUCUACGGAAUAACAUUCGCUACAUGACCUUAGCUAUGGGGACACAUAGCUGCCUGUCUGCAAGUCGGGAUGCCUUGUACGAUGGCCCGAGGAGGAACAGCCUAGGAGUGUUCAGAAAGAACUCCGCCUGCAGCAACGGGUGUGCAGCGGCGCCCCUCGGCCUCACCCUGCCCGUGGAGAAAGCUGCAGCCACCAUCCAGAACCAGUUCAGGAAGUACCAGCAGAAGAAGAAGGAGACCAAGUAGAAGCACACCCGCACCACCCGAGCUCUGCAAGACAGACAGACGGACACAAACACACUGGCGGGGGACACAG
Molecule: long non-coding RNA, 473 nt
Organism: Oncorhynchus tshawytscha (Chinook salmon)
Lineage: Eukaryota; Metazoa; Chordata; Actinopteri; Salmoniformes; Salmonidae
Source: Ensembl